UUGCUCCGUGAGCCUGUGCCAAGCUUUGGGUACGCCCGAACCAAAACGAGCUACGCCAACCACGGAGGAGAGGACAAAUGGUAUUGUCUUGGCUAAAUGCGAGAUCAAACUUAUUUAAGAAAAGAAAAUUGCAGAGCAUUCUUUGCGAACCAGUUGUUACAAAGUUAAUUUAUCAUACAAAUUUCUUAAUCAAUACCCUUCACUUUAGCUUCUCUCUCCAAAUUACUAUCUGGAGUGUAUAACUUUUCAUCAACUAGUUGUGACCAAUAUAUUUUGGGUAGUGCUAUCUACACAUCAAUUAACUUCUCACACCCACAUUGUUACCGUCAGUUGAUAUUUAUUCAAUUCAUUCAAUCAACAAUGAAUUGAAUAUAUAAAGAGGACGUAAAAUUAUAGAAAAACAUCAACAUUAUUAACAUGAAUAAAGGGCAUGGAAGGCAUAUAUAUAAAAUACUUGAUCAAUGGAUUCUUUGGUAGCGAUAUCUAGCUAGCUAGGGUUUUCAUUUUAGACAACAAAUUAGUAUAACGGUUUCUCAAUUAAUAUAAACAGAAAUUGGAUUGACAUAUUAUAUAUAUAUAUAUAUAUAUAUGUAAGAAUGUGAGUAUGAGAUAGAGGAGUUUUAGGACCGGCUAUAGGUGUUCAAUAAGAUAGAAAAGUCUUGUUAAUAAAAGGAAUGCUAAUCCCUUUUGUAGAGGGAUUCUGUACAGCAUGAAGAUCAGAACAAGGAAACAAGAAUUUGUUUCCUAUAUGGAUUUUGAUAGGGAAUCCUAAUCAGUUAUGGUAAAGAUUAUAUGUAUAUAUAUAGUGGCCUCUCUUCUCACAGGGACAUGCUCAUUAUUUUGGACUUAAUCCUAUUUAUAAGUCGAGCUCUUGAUAACCUGCGAGAGAAGAGAAGGUACACUGAAAGCUUGCUGCUAUGGCUUCGGGUUCUGCUACAAGUGCAGGUAUGUUCUUCUUGCUGUGUUUUUUCAUAUACAUAAAUUGAAUAUUUCUCUCUAAGUUGUAGUUCAUGUUUUGGUCUUGGUGAUUAUGAUUAAGGGUCUUACAUGUGGUAUCAGAGCCACAAGACAUAUCAACAUGAGUUCAAUUUGUAAAGAAGAAAUUUUGUAUGUUACUAUAAAAAAAUAAAAAAAUAAAAAAAUAAAAAAAAAUAAAAAAAAAAUAAAAAAAAUAAAAAAAUUUUCUUUUAUACUCUUAUGAAGAAUCGAAGUCUGGUUCUGGAGGAAAUAAAAGAAGCGGUAAUGUAAACCGUCAAAGGAACCCUUAGGUUAUUAUCGAGUGAAGGUUUUCCAGAUUUUAGAAAGCAAUGCUUUCUUCUAUAAACAUCGAUCUGGGUUUUUCCUUUCCAACCCUCAAAUCUUCUAUUAUUUUCAAAUUCUAAAUCGCUUCCGCUGCCCGAUUCGUGAAUUUGAGUUAUAAUGAUUAAAAGGUAUGUUGUUAAUUGCUUUGAAUCCUUUGGGCAAAUGUAUAGAUGAAUGUGUUUACUUUCCCGGUUCAUCGACUGCAAUAAUGAGUCGUAUGCAGAUGUAUUUUGAUCUUUUAAAAUACAAAUGCAGACCUUAAUUAACCAUUCGGUGCAUUCUUUGAUCACUUUCAAAAUGCUUUUUACAUGUAUGAGACACCAUUAAACCAUUUGGUGUCUAAGGAUAUAUGGCAGAAAUCAGCGGAUCGUUUUUCAAGUUCUUGCUUAAUCAUUCCACUCUAUGUAUGCUUAUCAACAGAUUGUUGAUUAAGACUAUAUAUAUGGGUUUGUGAUUAUAGUCAUGAUGUGCAAAGUGAUGUUGAGAUGAAAUCAGGAACUAAUAAGUUCAAAUUGUGAUUUCAUUGCAGGUUCAACAUCUGCAAUAUCGUUCCGGACUAUGAACUUGGCAAACAUUCCUGUUCUCACAGGGGGAAGCAACUACAAGAAGUGGAGACGUGAGAUUGGGCUCUUAUUGACACUCAAUGACAUUGACAUAGCCCUUGAAACUCCCAAGCCGAUUCUGACUGAUCAAAGUACAAGGGCUGAGAAAGCUGAUGCAGAGAGAUGGGUCAGAGCGAACAAAGUGGCACUUUCUAUACUUGAAAGUGCCAUGACUGAUACUGUUUGCGAUGGAAUCAAGAAGCAUGAACUAGCUAUUGAGUAUUUACAAGCAAUUGAAAGAAAGUUCAAAGAAUCUCAGAAGGCAGAAAUCAGUCACUAUAUGGCAAUGCUGACCACAUACAAGAUUGAUGGCAUAGGGUCAAUCAGAGACCAUAUCUUGAAAAUGACUGAUGCAGCUGAGAAAUUAAAUUCUUUAGAUGUUAAUAUUGGUGAAAAACAGUUAGUUUUCAUGAUCCUUCAAGCUCUUCCAAACAAAUAUAGUCAGUUAAAGGUGUCUUACAACACUCAAGACAAGAACUGGGAUGUUGAUGAGCUAAUAGCACAGUGCGUUCAAGAAGAGGCUAGACAAAAGCAAGAAAGAGGGAAAGAAACUGAAACGGUGAAUUUUGUGCAACCAGACAAGGGGAAGAAAUCAUUCAAGUCAUUCUCUGGAAACUCUGGUAAGAACAAUAAUACCAAGGUAACCUCUUUUAAGUCUACUGCAUCUGCCAAAGUAAAGGACUCUAUUAAGGGAUCUAGCAAUCUUAUGGUCAAAACUAAAAAUAUUGCCAAACUCAGAUGUUUUUUCUGCAAAACUAAAGGACACUUAAGAAAAGAUUGUCAAGUUUUUCAGGACUAUCUUAAAAGUAAGGGUGUAGAAAAUGUCAAUGUCUGUGUUGAGUCUAAUUUGAUUGAAAUCCCUGUGAAUUCUUGGUGGUUUGAUACCGGUUGCUCAGUUCACAUUUCAAAUUCUUUGGAGGGUUUUGUGAAAUCAAAACAAACUGGUUUUAAAAUUAUAAUGUCUUUGUGGGAGAAGGUACUAAAGUUACGGUAGAAGCUAUAGGUAUGGUGUGUUUAAAAUUGUCUUCUGGUUUUAUACUAAAACUAAAGGAUGUACUUUAUGUGCCUAAAAUGAGGAGAAAUCUGAUCUCUGCUUCAAGAAUUGUCAAAGACGGUUUUGCCUUUCUAGGUGAUGAUGAAAGUUUAAAAAUUUUUUAGAAGAACCACCUAGAUUGUGUUUUGGGAACUGCAUAUUUGAGUGACAAUCUGUGGUGUCUGAAUUGUACUUUGGAGUCCCUAAAUCAACAUGUUUUAAACACAAGCACUAAGAGGAUGCACUGCAGUGAUGAUUCUUUCCUCCUUUGGCACAAGAGGUUAGGUCACAUAUCCAAAGAAAGAGUUUUAAAACUGUCCAAAGCUCAGUUGAUCCCUGAAUUAAAUCUUGCUACUGCAAUUGAGUGUGUUGAUUGUGCAAAAGGGAAGAUGACUAAUUCUAGAAAGUUAGAUGCCAAAAGGAGCCAGAAUUUGCUAGAUAUCAUACACACUGACAUCUGCGGCCCUUUUCCAACCAAAACUAUUUGCGGUAAUUCUUAUUUUGUCAACUUUAUUGAUGAUUUCUCAAGGUUUUGUUACACUUAUUUAAUUAGUGAGAAAUCAUCGGUCCUUGAUUAUUUCAAAAUUUAUAAAACUGAGGUAGAAAAACAAUUAGGCAAGACCAUUAAGAUUGUUAGAUCGGAUAGAGGAGGAGAGUAUUUUGGCAGGUACAGUGAGACUGGACAACACAAGGGUCCGUUUGCGCUUUAUCUUGAACAACAAGGCAUUGUUGCUCAAUACACUACACCAGGAACACCACAGCAAAACGGAGUUUCAGAAAGGAGGAAUCAAACUUUGAUUGGAAUGGUACGAAGCAUGAUGACAAGAUCAAAGUUACCAGGAUUCCUAUGGGGUGAAGCAUUGAAGACAACCACUUAUAUACUGAACAGAGUUCCGAGCAAAGCGGUUUCAUCAACACCUUUUGAAAUCUGGAAUGGCAGGAAGCCCAGUUUUAGUCAUUUCCAUGUUUAGGGAUGUAAAGCUGAGGCUAGAAUUUACAAUCCAAAUGAGAAGAAAUUGGACUCAAGGACAGAAUCAUGUUAUUUCAUUGGCUACUCAAAGAAAUCUAAAGGCUUCAAGUUUUAUUGUCCUCAAGCUCACACCAGGAUUCAUGAAACUCACAAUGCUAGGUUCUUUGAAGAUCAAGAUAUUGCAGACUUAUCGCAGGGCAGGUUCAUUUUUUAAGAAAUUGAUCAAAAUGAGAAGUCCUUUUACAGUAAUUCUUACAAAGAAAUGUUGAUCACUCCCGCUUCCAUGAUUGAAUUGGAGGAAGAACAAUUAGACUGUCCAGAAAAUAUUGACAGAAUGGAAAUUGAUCUUGGGUCCCAACCACAGCAACAAGGGGAUCCAACUCCAACUAAUGAUGCACCAAUGAAUCCGAGCACUGAAGUUCUCCAUGAUCCGACAUUACCAUUGAGACAAUCUUCAAGAAUCAGAAAAACCACAAUGUCAAAUGACUAUGUUUAUUUGCAGGAGCAUGAGUUUGAUUUUGGUGAUGUGGAUGACCCUCUCACUUAUUCUCAGGCCAUGAAUAGUUCUCAACAAUCCUUAUGGCACAGUGCAAUGAAGGAGGAAUUGGAGUCGAUGUCCAAAAACGAAGUAUGGACAUUAGUGGAUUCCAAUCCUCAAUUCAAGGCUAUUGGGUGUAAAUGGGUUUACAAGACCAAAAGAGAUGCUCACGGCAAUAUUGAAAGGUACAAGGCAAGGUUAGUUGCCAAGGGAUUCACUCAGAGGGAAGGGGUGGAUUACAAUGACACAUUUUCUCCCGUCUCUUCCAAAGAUUCUAUUAGGGUCAUAAUGGCACUUGUUGCUCAUUACAAUCUGGAACUGCAUCAAAUGGAUGUUAAAACUGCCUUUCUUAAUGGUGAACUGGCCGAAGACAUUUAUAUGAAGCAGCCUCCUGGAUUUGUUGAAAAGGGGAAAGAAGACAUGGUUUGUAAACUUAACAAGUCAAUCUACGGGCUUAAACAGGCAUCAAGACUGUUCUUAAAGUUUGAUCAAGUAGUUACGAGACAAGGUUUUGUGGAAAACAAAUUAGAUGAUUGCAUCUAUGUUAAGUUUUCAGGCACUAAUUUUAUAUUUUUAGUGUUGUAUGUCGAUGACAUCCUCCUUGCCAGUUCUAACAUGAAGCUGCUCAAAGACACUAAGACCAUGCUCAGUAAGAAUUUUGAAAUGAAGGACCUUGGUGAAGCACACUAUGUACUUGGUAUUGAAAUUGUUCGAGAUAGAUCAAGAAAUUUACUCGAUUUAUCACAAAAGGGAUACAUAGAAAGGGUACUCAUGAGGUUCAAUAUGUCAAGCUGCAGUAAUGGUGAAGUGCCAGUAAACAAGGGAGACAGAUUCUCAAAGGCUCAAUGUCCCAAGAUGCCUAUGGAGAUAGAUAAAAUGAAAAAUAAGCCUUAUGCUUCAUUGGUGGGAAGUUUGAUGUAUACAACUAUCUGCACUAGACCGGACAUUGCUUUUAUAGUUGGAAUGUUGGGCAGGUUUCAAGCAAAUCCAGGAGAGACACAUUGGGUAGCAGCAAAGAAAGUUUUGAGGUACUUGCAAAGAACCAAGAACUAUAUGUUGGUUUAUGGCAGGAAUGAGCUAUUGGAGUUAGUUGGCUACACUGAUUCUGAUUUAGCCGGUGAUGUAGAUGAUAGAAAAUCUAUUGGAGGUUAUAUCUUUAUGCUAAGUGGUGGUGCAGUCUCUUGGAAAAGUGCAAAACAGACUAUCAUCGCAACAUCGACAAUGGAGGCAGAAUUUAUAGCUUGUUUUGAAGGAAUGAAACAAGCUGUAUGGUUGAAAAACUUUGUGACAGAUUUGAAAAUUGUAAAUUUUGUGCAAAGGCCUAUCAUAAUGUAUUGUGAUAACAAUUCUGCAGUAUUUUUUAGCAAGAACAAUAAGAGAACUUCAGCUUCAAGACUGAUGGAUGUAAAAUUCCUCAAGGUCCGAGAAAAGGUUAGAGAAGGAGCAAUUCAGGUGGAGCACUUAAGCACAAAUGCAAUGAUUGCGGAUCCUUUGACUAAGGCAUUGUCGAUUGGUGUAUUUAAAACGCAUGUCUCUCGGAUGGGAAUACUUGAAUCAUUUGAUCAGUAGGAGUGAUUUGUUAGUCUUAUUAUGACUGUUUAUUUGCCGCUGUGAAGUUCAGAGAGCUGGUGCGGUAAUAUAGACAGGUUUCAAAUUCCAAAUUUUAAAAGCUUAUGGCUGGAUAUUGAGAGUAUUAGGUUUGUUAGUUUUGUUUUGUUUAUUUUAUCGAAUUGAGAUCAGUUAUGAUGAUCUAUUGCUUCGACCAAAAUAAAGUUUGAUAUAAUUCAUUUGUUGCUUUUAUAAUGGUUUAUCUGUUUAAAGCAUUUAGUGAUGAAUUGUUGAUUCAUGCAUUGUUUUGAAGCAAAGAUUUGUUUUUCAUCUUGCUGACAAUGGUUUAAAAUAGUGGGAGCAAAUUAUUUUGCUGAUAUUGAUCCAGUUCACAACGUUGAGCAUACAAAUUGAUUGUCUGUGACUCUUGAAAAACUGUUUGCUUUAUUGUGGUAAUACAGUUACAAGCGUUCUGCAUUUUGAGAUGUAUGAUAGCUGGUUGUGAUUGAAAUUUUAUUAACAAGAUUAGUGAUCACUUCUAUCUGAACAUAAUUGACUUGGCCGAGUACUUAAACUGUUCUUAUACUCAAGUGGGAGAAUGUAAGAAUGUGAAUAUAAGAUAGAGGAAUUUUAGGACCGGCUAUAGGUGUUCAAUAAGAUAGAAAAGUCUUGUUAAUAAAAGGAAUGCUAAUCCCUUUUGUAGAGGGAUUCUGUACAGCAUGAAGAUCAGAACAAGGAAACAAGAAUUUGUUUCCUAUAUGGAUUUUGAUAGGGAAUCCUAAUCAGUUAUGGUAAAGAUUAUAUGUAUAUAUAUAGUGGCCUCUCUUCUCACAGGGACAUGCUCAUUAUUUUGGACUUAAUCCUAUUUAUAAGUCGAGCUCUUGAUAACCUGCGAGAGAAGAGAAGGUACACUGAAAGCUUGCUGCUAUGGCUUCGGAUUCUGCUACAAGUGCAGGUAUGUUCUUCUUGCUGUGUUUUCUCAUAUACAUAAAUUGAAUAUUUCUCUCUAAGUUGUAGUUCAUGUUUUGGUCUUGGUGAUUAUGAUUAAGGGUCUUACAAUAUAUAUAGUGGUAUUGGUACAAGUAUACUACUACUGAAUAUAGGAUUGACCAGUGAUAUCAAGGUCUCGGUCGCCGGUGGAAGGUGGGGGUGUGUGCUUGGGGGGUUGAGUGGUGGCUUCAGCUGGUCCGUCGGCACUCUGGCUGUCACUGGCCCGUGGUUUUGCUUUUUCUUUUGCAGGCUGAUCUGGCUCUCUACCGUACAUUCCACCGCCAUAGGCUUCAUAUGUUAAUGGCUUCAUCCUUGAUAUUUCACUAUGACUACCACCACCUCCAUCCUCCUCCUUCUUCUGCUUAACCUCCUCCCGUCUCUGCUUCUCCCUUUCCUUUUCCAUUUUCUGAUGAUCCAUUGAUUCCCUAUUUAGUAAUAGAUAAUCUAUUCGUGGUCGUACUUUUACUAGCUAGUUAUAUACAUAAUUCCAACUGCCACCGAUCAAUAUAUGUAUGACACGCGUCUUGUUUUAUGGUGAAGUGGCGAAACCCCUAACUGCCUUCUGUCAUCCAUGCAUGAGCAACUACAUCCUCAUGCAUGUACAAGCACACCUCUAUAGUAGUCCAUAUCCACCUGACUUCGUACUUUACUCGAAAUCAAUCUCUCUCACUCUCUAACUAAUUUUCUGGAGAAAAAUUUGUAUAACAUGAUUUACAGUGUCACAGUUAUAUAAUCCAGUACAAAUAAUGAAAUUAUGUGUUAAACUUCUUUACUUAUCUUUGUGCUAUUCAUACAAAACAGUACCAUUACGCUUAAUUUUAGACUAUCACUUCGAAAUGAUCUAGUAUUGUGGUACCGCACAUACAUUUUAUAUGUGUUCAUUACUUCGACAUAACUUAGUGUUGUGCUACUACGCAUGCGUUUUAUACAUGUUCAUUAACUUGUCCCACUUGAUUAUUUGUUUUUGCUCAUCUUUUGUUCCCCCAAAUAAUUUUUCAAGAAAAGUUGGACACUCACUGAUUAGUUUAUAGACUGCACAAUGAUAUUCAUAUUGGUGGUAAUGGUAUAUGUAUCAUUCUUCUCAAUUAAUUUGUGCGACUUGAUUAUUUGUUUUUGCUUAUCUUUUGUUCCCCCAAUAAUAUAAUAGAUAUAGUUAUAUACCUUGAAAAGUUGUUCACUAAUCAUAAUAGAUUGCAGAAUGAUAAUAGUGGUAGUCCUGCAUAUAUAUUUUAUGUCCACCGCACAUAAAUAUAUAUAUAUAUAUAUAUAUAUAUAUAAUGUGUAAAAACCCAUAUCCAGCAACCACUAUAUUCCAACGUAACUACUUUUGAUUCUUGUUCAUGAGUCAAGUACAUUUUAAGUUUUUCAUCUUACAUACGGUUUUAUUAAAAACAUGAUUGUUUUAGAGAUUAAAAUGAAGUUUUCUAAUAAUCAAUUAAGUACUUGUCAUGAAAACCCACUACUACGAGUUAGUAAUAAUAUUGGAGUCGAGAGCUUGUGAAACUUGAGAAAGAAAGGAGAUGAAGAACUCAAAAAGGAGAUGAAGAAGUCAAAGUAACAUUGAAGAAGAUGAGGGAAUUGGAGGCGUCCAUCGCUGGGACUGAAACUUUGCUCCGACAAAGAGUUUGAUCAACGCUAGGGUUUCACUGCUCAACACUCUCACCCUAGUCUAAAUUAAUAUUUGCCAUGUGUACUUUUAGUUUUUAAUUUCUAUACAAAUUCCCAUUUAUUAAAUUUGUCUCCGUCGUCGAAUUAAUAGAAGAAUUGUGUGCAAUAGCAUAAAGCUUUGGGGUUGAUAUUGCAGCCGAUGAAUAUUAACAAGUAAAUGUACUUGAUUAUGUAAGAACUCUAACACAGAUCGAUGAUAUGCCAAUUGAAUUACCAAUGUUCUGAAACAAGUCAAGUGACAAAACUUAUGAACAAGAACAAGGAUUGCCGAGAACAUACCUGCAGAAUUUGAACUUGAAGAAGCCAUAACAGCCUCUGUGUUCAAAACCUUCUCCUCUUUUACGAUCACAAUAGCUUUUCUAAUCAAUAGGACUUAGAACAACAUAAGCUAAUAUCGCAAGAGCAGUGGUUUGAACCAUAAAUAUAUAGUGCUCCUUCGUCCAUUCCCUAUCAGAAUUGGACUAGGAUUCAAAGACAUACAAACCAUAAAGAUUCAUGAGACUUUAUAAAGUUCCAACACAAAGUUCUUUUCCAAAACCAAUUGGAACUUCUCUCAAGACUGCAUUCCUUAUCAGAUUUAGACUUCUUUAUAAUAUCAAUUAUCCCAAGACUUAUAAGAAUCAUACUCAUACUCUUACAUUCUCUCACUUGAGUAUGAUUCAUCACAACAGAUAAUCAUCUCAAAUUAUAAAGGUGAUCAGAUAAGUCAUUCACCAUCACACUAGUACAUAGACACAACCUGCUUACAUAAACCAAAACAAUGAAUUUAUAAUUGCCUCUGCAACACAAAAUACAGAUUUAACUUACAAAUCACAAUGUCCAGUUUAUGUUCAUAGCAAUGUAUCUAAGAUCAAAUUUAUAUAAAAAUUACCAAAUGUUUUGGAUAACAAAAGCUUAUCCUCACAUACAACUUACCUAUGCAUUUUAAAGUAUUGAACUUAAGAAUCUUUUCUGUUACAUCGCAGAAUUAACUCAAAAGUCACAACAUACUUAAUUUGCACAUUGUAAUUAUGUGAACCAAAAUAGCAAAACCAAACCAAUUUGCUCCCACUUAUCUAGGCCAUACUUAACACAAACAAGUUAAGUAUAAGUUAAUAUCAACUGUAUUAACUAACAGUCAUUGCAAUACACUGAAUGUCUUAUUAAUGUGAUCAAUUGCCGCAACCAAUACGCAAACAAAUUCCAUGAUCACAUUCAUCCAAUUCGUAUUUACAACAAUGUGAUUUUACUUGACCAGAGCAAACACAUAAAUUGAUUUGCUCCCACUAUAUCAAGUUAAGUUUAGUUCCAGCAAAUAGCACUAAACUUCUCAUUACUUAAACAAAUUAAGUAACAUAAAUAAUUACCAAUUGCUUCAAUAAAACCAUAAUCUGGUUUUCAAGCAUCCAUAUGAAUUAUAAUGGCUGGCUUAAAUACUCCUAGCCUUAUGCUUACAUUCGAACAUACGAUUCUCCCACUUAAGCAUAAGGAGAAUAUACUGCACAGUCAAUAAAGAAAUCGGAGAUAUGAACCAAUUGGUUCCCGAUUCCUUACCUAUUGCAUAAUCUCAGUUUAGUUAUAUACACCUAAACCAUUAUACAAAACAGUCUAUGUAUCAAAAGAUAGUCACAAUCCAUUCGGAAAAACUUAUCUCACAUAAACUCAAAAUCACCAGUUUCAACAAUGAUCAAAAUCAGAAUAGCAAGCACAAUAUUUUUGCAUUCAAUUUGAUCUUAACUAGUUCAAUAUCCAUCGAGCAAGAUCAACCAAAAUUUGAUAAUGUUUGGAUAUAUAUGACAACAAUAUAUCUUGAUUAAAACGAGAUAAUCAAGACUACUAUUUCUUCUGGAGAACUCGAAGUUCAUCUUUCUCCCUAUUUGUGAUUUCAACCAAAAUAUAAUAGCGGAAGCAGCAUGCAUCAUGAAAUCACAAAUAUACAUAUACAAUAAGCAUGCAUCGAUAUAUAUACAUGAUAAGAUUAGUCGACAAUAAUCCAGAUUAAAAAUCUUCAUGCCUUUAAUUCAUUGUCAACACCAUCAUCAAUUAUAUACAGAUUCGUAAGCAAGUCCUUGGAGAAAAUAAUGAUAACUGCAUAUCAUUAGUCUUAUGAAUUUCCAAUAAGAUGACAAAUAAUUAUUUGUUUUUCCGAUUCAUAAUAGAAUAUAUAUUUUGUAAAUGGCUAAAAGUUUAUUGUCACAAGACUCAUUAUAGGCGGUCAAUAAAACAUCUACCUUAUAUAUUCAUUUGUUCAUAUAUUUUCUUGUAUGCUUGCAUCAAUAUUCAGAGAAACUUAUGCAAGUUCUAUUUGAUAUAGAUAAAGCCGCAUGCCCAUAAUUACAACAUCUAUGCACGAAUGCUAUCUAGAUAGAUAUGAAUACAAAUUUAAUUCAUAUAUGCGAUUUAUGUAUAAGUCACAAAGCAAUUGGCAUCCAUUUAUAUAUGCAUUCCAUGUUGUUUGCUUUAUAUUGCUUGCCGACUUGCACAUGAUAUGCAGUCAAAUCCAUUCCAACCCAAACUUGAUAUAAAUCAAACCAAUUGAAAAUCAGGAAUUGACAAUAAGAUGUGCACUUGUGCUGCUCCCCGCAAUUAAAUGUAUCGAGAUUCAUACAUGAAACAAUGCAUAUACACAGACUCUUUAAUGAAAAAUGGAAAAGUAUAUCUAGACAAAUUUGUUUAUGCAGCAAAGUAUGAUUCCAGACAUCUCACAUAAAUCACAAGUUGGCAUCUAUAGGGAUUUCGAGUUUAAUCAUGCCUUUACAAUUUAUAUAAAUAAACAAGCAUACUCGAAAUAGCAAAAGACCUAAUUCAUUAUGCUCCAACUCAUCACACUAUAAUCAUGCAUAUAGGAGAACAAUUAAUCACGCAUGAAACAGUGAAGUGAGUUACCUGAAUGCAUCAUUGGACUCGUAUUCGUCAACCAAUUGCAAUUCCUCGACUCCAAAUUAACGAAAUUACUUAUCCAUCAGUGCUCGAGAAUCGUCCAUGCGGAUUGUCAUCACUCCAAAUUCCCAUGCGGAUUGCCAUCAUAAUCAAUCAACACAGCGGAAACAAGAAUUUUGAAAAUCAGAAUUACGAUGUUUAUGAGAGAUGUAUACUGAUAAAUUACUAUACUUAUCACCAAAUAAGCAAGCAUGAAAAAGUUCUCUCAACCCCAGAUUGAGAAACACGGUUUCAGAAUAAGUAACUAAUCUUGACACCAAUUCCAUUUAACUCAAUCUAAAUGUUAAACAAAAUUCAAGAAAUUGCAAUAAGAUUUCAAAAUACAUACCCUUUUAUGAAUGGUUUCAGGAUCGUAUCAAUCUUAGCAUCAAUCAUGUAUAAAGAUUGCAGUAUUGUAUAUAUUACAUCAGGAGUUUUGUAUGUAUCAAGGAUCAAAAUUCAAUAAACUUGAUAUAAUACAUCAGGAGUUUUGAAUUAUAAACAUACCUUUGGGAACAAAAGAAAAAUAUAUAUUAUCGCAAAUCCAAAUCUUAAACAAAGAUGGUUGUGAACGAGAAGAUCUAGAAGCAAAGCAUGUUUGGAUCAUCACAACUUCAAACCAAGAAGAGAAAAAAAAGUGCAAACCCAGAAAAUUUCGAACAAGGUUAUGAGUUUUGCCAAUAUUCAAUUUAAACAAGGUUAUACGUUUUCUAGGUUUGGAACGUUUAAGUGUUCAUAGCUUUUCCAUCAGAUUCUUGUGUAAAUUUCGAACUCAAUGACAAUAAUCAACUAGGCUCUGAUACCACAUGUAAGAACUCUAACACAGAUCGAUGAUAUGCCAAUUGAAUUACCAAUGUUCUGAAACAAGUCAAGUGACAAAACUUAUGAACAAGAACAAGGAUUGCCGAGAACAUACCUGCAGAAUUUGAACUUGAAGAAGCCAUAACAGCCUCUGUGUUCAAAACCUUCUCCUCUUUUACGAUCACAAUAGCUUUUCUAAUCAAUAGGACUUAGAACAACAUAAGCUAAUAUCGCAAGAGCAGUGGUUUGAACCAUAAAUAUAUAGUGCUCCUUCGUCCAUUCCCUAUCAGAAUUGGACUAGGAUUCAAAGACAUACAAACCAUAAAGAUUCAUGAGACUUUAUAAAGUUCCAACACAAAGUUCUUUUCCAAAACCAAUUGGAACUUCUCUCAAGACUGCAUUCCUUAUCAGAUUUAGACUUCUUUAUAAUAUCAAUUAUCCCAAGACUUAUAAGAAUCAUACUCAUACUCUUACAGAUUAAACUAACUAUUACCGACUUUAACUGACAAAACCUCCACGCAUAUGCUAGCUGGCGAGGGUUUGGCAUGGGCAUCGUUGCACAGUUUUAUUAUCUUAACAAUUCAUAAUUAAUGUCGGAUUCUUGCAUCCGCCAUCCGGCAAUUCGAUCUAAUCAACUUUGCUGAUAUCGAUAAGAUGAAUUAUUGAUAAUUAGUAAUACCCUUAACUUGUUCUUGUUCUUCUAAUUAUACGUGCGUUGUAUAUAUUAAUGUAUGACAUUAGUUUUUCUCCACUGUCAUAGACAACUUUAACACAACGAGGUUAGUGGUCCCUAAUUAUUACCUAAUAAUUUUAAGCAAAAAGAUUAUAUUUUUAGUUUAAUUAACUGUAGUAUGUAAGUCGAAAACUCCUCCUCUAAAAUCCUAAACUCUAAUGGGAUUAACAUCACACUUUGACGGACAUUUUAAUCACCUAACCCUCAAGUGUACUCAAAACCCAAUGUACGUCCCUCUAAAAUCUUAAAAAGAAAUGAUAAUCUCCUUACCUUUUAAUUAAUAGAUCCACCUUAUAAUAAAGUUAAUUUGUAGGUUAUCCUAAAAAGUUGUCUUUAGUUUUCCUUAAACCUAGCGAAGUCCAACUUGAUAUUAAUUGAAUGUAAAUUUACCUGUGAUACUAAUGUCAGUUUGUCAUGCAUAUAUAGGAAUAUAAGGAAAAUUAAUGUUGGAAUAUUUACAACAAGAAUGACAGAUGGGGCUAGUUUCAAUCUCAAUUCUCAACUGUAACAAGCUGAAUUUUUACGCAAUCUCAAUCAUAAACGUUUGAUCGAAACCCUUUGUAAUAAAAAAAAAAAAAGCUGGGUCGAGAGUUCGGACCGGCCUUCAUUGGCCGCAGGCCAAAUGAUGACUCAUUAUCAAAAGCACCGGUGACCUAAACAACACCAUCUCCAACCUAUAUAAUAUCGUUAUAUAUAUAUAUAUAUAUAUAUAUUGACAUAAUGACCGUAAAAAGAUAGAUUAAAGUUAGGCUUUCCUAAAUCCCAGGAUAUGGGGAUGAGAUUCAAAUUUCAAUACCCAAGACAGAGCCAUAGGGACAGGGUUCAGGGGACCAUGUCUUCCGUUUCUCCUUCUCUCUCUCUCUCUCUCUCUCUCUCUCUCUCUCUCACGGUCAUCUCCCUCCCACUUCAAAAGUAAAUCACAAAAGUGAUUCACAUACAGAAUACAGCCAAACUUGAUUGAGUUGGAAUUGCACUAGCUCAUACAAAAGCUAUAUCCUGCAUCUUGCAACAGCUCAUCCUCCUCCUCGUUUUGUGAAAGAUCCAAUCCCCUUAUUAAAGACAUGACUAACUUAUAGACAGUACCAGCACUCUUUGCUAGCUAGCUUCAGUACUACUUCAUACCUUCACAAUGGAAAUGAUAAACACACAUUUGUUUUAGCUUCUCACACACCUAUGUUUAAUCUUGUUUGUUGUUUUCAUUUGAUUUAUUCAAUCCAAUAGCUAGAAUUGAAGAGGGUUGUGUCAUAAGUUAAAAAAAAUGUGUGAAAAUCAUAUCUCCAUAAUUAUGGCUGUUAAUUUUUGGCACCAUUAUUUCAAAAAUUAUGAUGCACUAUUAUUUCAAAAAUUAAGAUCUUUUUGAAAAUUUUGCUUUGGAAAUUUACCCCCACAGCUCCACACGCAUGGUUAUAUGACAUAACGGUUACUUGCCAUGUAUGAUUUUUGUCAUUAAUUGGACAUCAUAAUAAUUUAUUUGACCUUUCAAUUAGCCUUUUUCUUGUUAAUUUGCACCAUAGAUGGAAGGGAAAAUUACAAAACGCACGCAUAUCCGUGGGGGUAUGAAUGAAGAUAAGAAAAUAAAAACGCGGUAAAGAUGGAAUAAACCCAAAAAAACGGGGCAACACUGAAAUAAUCUGAAAAAUGAAAAAAGAGACGUUAGCCCUAUCCCGCCAGGUUUUCCCCGUUUGAGCAAUUAAGGAAGGAAGAUAAUUAAACAGUCCACCAGAGACGCAAAGCAAUAAAUAGUAAAUGCCAAAUUACCAAAUAAGCCAUUCCAUAUCUAUCUAAAAUUGCGCACUCAAAACCCAAAUCAGAAAAAUCAGAGAAUGUUGGUGGUGCCUUGUAAGUUUUUUUGGUAAUUAAGUAAAGCGAUUGCGUGUGUGUGUCACAUCCAGUUGAGAGAUACUGAGAGUUGUGAUGGGUUGCGCCGCCUCAAAGGUAGAAGACCUUCCGGCGGUGGCAUUGUGCCGAGACCGGUGCAAGUACCUGGAGGAAGCUCUCUGCCAGACCCAAGCCCUGGCCGAUUCCCACCUCGCUUACUUAGCCUCUCUCAGGACCCUUGGCCCCGUUCUCCACCGUUUCUUCCAUGACACUCCUGCAGGUACUGGACCGCCGCCGCCACCAGAAUCAGACUCGCACCUCCAAUUCCCUUCCGACUCUGAAUCCGAAUACAAAGAGGACCACACCGAUAAACAGUUGGGAGAAACGCCGACACCAGUUUCUGUGCAUGAUCAAUGUUUCAGGAAAAGGGAGGAGGAGGUCUUCAAAAAUUUAGGCGGCAGACUGACUUCCGAACUCCCUCCUCCACCACCGCCUCCGGUCAGCUCCACUUGGGAUUUUCUUAAUCUAUUUGAUGCCUACGAGAGGGAGAGUUACCUAGCACCCCUUUAUACUUGCACUACUUUGGUUCCUGAAGAAGCUGCUCAUACUUCUGCAUUUGUUGCUGCCGCUGCUGACAAAAUCAAUAACGAGAUCAAUGUUAAACACAAUACUAAAAAUAUUGACGAUGAUCAGGAAAGGGAGAGUAGGUCGCCCGAGAAGGGUAAGACGACUCACAUGGCGACGUCGACAGCAACUCCUCCGUCUGUCUCUGUCUCUCCCACUGUCCCAGAAGCAGCAGAGGCGAUGCGAGAGCUUCAUCUUCUGUUUGACAGGGCGUCUGAGUCCGGUAAUCAAGUUUUAUUGUCGCUGCAGUCUCAUCAUCUCACAAUUUCUCUUGAUCAGGGUAAUUUAUCCAUUUUAAUUUUCUCAAUCAAUUUUUAAUAUUAUUCCAGAUUGUUAGAUAAAGAUAAAUUUAAUACAUAAUUAAUUUGACGAAUUGGCGUUGGAGAAGCAGAGUAUGGAUUUGAUGACCAUGAAGGCUUGGUUAUGAGUUCACAGAACCUUUCUUACACUCUGAAGACGCUCUUCCUGUGGGAAAAGAAACUUUACCAUGAAGUCAAGGUAUAUAUAUGCUUCUUUUCCUUCAUUAGCUUUGCUGAUUAAUCACUUUUUAAAGCAUAAUCUUGACUAUUUAAUCAUGCUAUAUAUAUAUAAUUAGGCUGAGGAAAGAUUGCGCGUUACGCACGAGAAGAAGAGUAGAAUGCUGAAACAUUUGGAACAUAGCAAGGGUACUACUACUAGUGCUGCUCAGUCUCCCAAACUCAACUCCCUUCGCAGUGCAGUCCGCGAUCUUUUAACAAAAAUGAAAAUUGCAAUUCAGAUUGUUGACAGAAUAUCAAUUACCAUCAAUAAGUUGAGGGACGAGGAGCUAUGGCCGCAGAUUAUUGAAUUCAUCAACAGGUAUCUCUACUCUAUCGUCUAUCCCAUCACCACUGAAGAAUGAUUGAUUCUACGAAAUGUAAAAGUGAUUAGUGGACUGGUUGAUGUGCUUGUAGGUUACUCAACAUGUGGAAAGCUAUGGUAGAAUGUCACAAGAGUCAGUACCAAGCAAUGGUGGAAGCCAAGGGUUUAGAUGGCGUCGCAAUAUCCAAUGCAAAAUUGAGCAGCGCGCAUAAGGCUGAAACUGCAAUUCAACUCAAGUUAGAGCUUCAAAACUGGAAUGUGUGCUUCUCCAAAUGGAUUGUCGCCCAAAAGGGGUAUGUAAAAGCAUUAAAUGGAUGGCUUCUGAGAUGUCUUCUACACGAACCGAAUGUGGGCGAUCAAGAAUUAACAGCGGACGAGGGUAUUGGAGCACCGCCUGUUUUUGUGAUAUGUAAUGAGUGGUCACAAGCUAUGGAUAGACUCUCAGAGAAGGAAGUUGUUGAAGCCAUCAGGGGAUUCUGGACUAGUAUACAUACGCUUUUAAUGGAAGACAACAAUAAUAAUGUAGAAAUGGUGCAGCAAAGGAUGGUAGCUGAAAACAAAGAUAUAGCCAGGAAAGUAAAGUUUUUGGAGGAAGAGGAGGGGAAGGAGCAGAAGAUAUUGCAUAAGCUGAUACGCGGUAGAGGAGGGAAAAAGAACGUUGGUUCGAGUAGCUUGCGAGCAGGAGAAGACGAGUCACAGAGAGAGAGAGUGCAGCAACAGAGUAGUAGUGAUCUAGUGUGGGAUCUGAAGCAGACAUUGAUGGCGAUGGAGAAAUUCACUGCAAACUCAUUGCAAGCAUACAAUGAGCUUCAUGCACACAUUGAACUAGAGCAAGUCAGCUGCAGGCAAUCUGGAAUAUCUGGAUGAUGAAUUAAUGACAACCUUGGCUUAAUUCUUCUGAUACCAAAUGAUUAGUUUGUUGUUUUGUUGCCAUGGGUGCUUAAGGUUUUGCUCGUCAAAUUAGCAAUAAGAUUAGACACCUGGAAGUUAUAUAAAUUGGCCUUGCCUUAUUAUGCAAUUAUAUAUGUUGAUCACCUGUUACAAGAAUUUUGGAGAUGCAAAUAUUGCUUAUUAUAAGGCAAAACAAAUGGGUUUAUCCAUUAGUAAUUCCAUGCUUCCUCUGACUAGUGACAACCUUUUGGGAGGGUCAUCCCAACUCCGGUGCAAGUAGUCGGACAAAUUUACAUAUACAUGCACAUAAGGUGUAUGAAGCUCAGCUCUUAAUUUGGAGUACAAACUUGCACAUGCAAAUAACAACAUAUCCGACCUACAACAAUUUUCGCAACAAUAAAUUUGUAAACGGGUGCGUGAGAAUUCAGACUUGAGAUUUAUUUCAAAAACGGACGGUGAUGAUGGUGAUGUAAUGCAUAUUUUAAUACUAUAGGAGCUGAUUUUUGUAUACUUGUUCUUCGCUUUAUGCACACACUCUUCAUUUACACAUAUCUUUUGCCUUAAUGUAUAUAAUUUUGUGAAUUAGCCAAUCCAUAUUUUGAUACAAAAUGUGUUAGGGUUCGUUUGGAUGUGCUUUUAAAAUGACUGAAAGCGCUUUUAGAGAAUAUUUUUUGGUUCCAAAAUCACUUAAAGUGCUUUCUUUAAGAAGCACUAGUUAUGUGCUUUUUUCAUGAAGUACUUUUAAGUGCUCUUCCAGAAUAUACUUGCAUUUUACUAAGAAUUAGUUCCAAAAGCAUUUUCAACAUAAGCGCUUUCAGUCAUUUUAAAAACACAUCCAAACAAUCUCUUAGACGUUCCCCAUUUCCCCCAAUAGGUAAGUCGCAAAACAAAACUUUGGUGAUGAUUAGAUUUCUUAUUUAAAUAAUUAAAAAUAAUCUAAAUAGAUAAUCUCUUUUUUAACAUUUUUUUAUAUUUAACAUAAAAUAAUUAUGGAUGAAACACUGCUUUUAGCCUAAAUCUAGCGAACUGUUAAAUGGAGGCAGAUUCUCUGUCUUUCCACUUUUCGUGCCCUUCCUUAUCUUUUUGUUUGUGUGAUCACAUUUAAGUCACGUCAAUAUUUUAUAUUACUAUUUUUUUUAUCUUAUUAUUUCUAUAAAAAAAAUAAUAUAAAAUAUUGAUAUGGUUUAACCGUGAUCACACAAAAUAGAAGGGCAUCAGAAGUGAAAGGGUUCUACCUCCCUAUUAAAUAUCGUGUGUGUAUAAAAGAAAAUUAGAAAAAGGAAAAAGGCAGAGAUUGGUCUGCUGGAUGCGAAGCGAUAAUUACCAAAUGUACCGUUUGGUACGCAUACGGAACGGGACAGAACAAGAUGGGACGGAACAGGACGGAACGGAUAAUGUAAAUAUUAAAAAAGAUAUGGAGAAAUUUUGUCAUAAAAUAUUAUAAAUUUAUGUUCCACGGAUGUGGAACGGGUCGUUCUAGGGGAAGAGGUGGAACGAAAAAUCAGUUUUUAGGCACACCAAACGUGAGACGGAACGGCUCGUCUCGUUCCGUACCGUCUCAUCCCACGUACCAAAUGGUACCAAAAUGCCUUUGAUGAUAUGGAAAGGACAAUUCAACUGUAGGUGGAAACAGGGAGAGAGAGGUUUUACCAGUGCAGACAGAGAGGGAGAGAAGGCAGGCAGGCAAGCAAAUUAGCAAUGCCAUUGCCAUUGCCAAGGAAAAGAAAGCGGCACUGAGUCAACUCGGCCGAGUUGUGGGGUGCUGCGAGUCGUCUUUUAUACAUGCACGUCAACACCACUCCAGCACCACCGCUUGGACACCUUCAGCUCCACCGCCACCACCAACCGCACUCCUCAACCGUCCAACGGUCGAGCCGAUGCAGCCGGAGCCGGAGCAGUGAUAUGAUAUGAUUCGUGGAAAAACAGAAUCUCCUUAGAAUUGAUGUUUGUGUUGAUGCAGGCUAUUGAUAUGAUUCGUGGAAAAACACUCUUCUCUUAAUGGAUUCACAUCUGGAGGGAAAAUUUUCAACUGAAGAAGCAACUGUGGUCUUUGAUCUUGCCUCACGAUGUUUGCAAUAUGAACCCAGGGAGCGACCAAAUAUCAAGGACCUUGUUGUAACAGUUGCUCCGUUGCAAAAUAAACCUGAUGCAAGUCUUCUUGCCUUUUCCCCACAUGAAUGCAAUGAUUUGUUUUCUCCUUUACAUGCAGGCAGUUGCUCUUGCCAAGCUAGACAUGCACAAGGAUGCAGCCGACAUGCUGAAUGAGGCUGCUGGCCUCGAAGAAAAAAAGACGUCGCAGAGGGAGAUGAUAGGAGAGAAGAGGAUCCUGAAAUGCUCUGUAAUUUUUUUUUUGUUGCAUUGAAGUUGCUCCAGCUGUUGUAACUUGUAACAGAAGUGUAGGGUUAUCAAGUAUAAUGGGGUAGGAGAAAGUUGUAUCAGUCCAGACGUGUGCAAUAUGUAGGUAGAGGGAGAUGCUUGUAUCUUGUGUAUCAACUACCGCGCCAUUCUUUUCCUCUAAUUUUUCGUUGGAUAACUAAUUGGUUCGUAACGUGUACUUGUGUAUAUGAAACUUGUGAUGCAUCAUUUUUAUGAUGUCACCGAGGGAUAGUUAAUACAUGAAUUUGCUCGAGUCUAGCGUCUAUCCAACUAUCCAACGUAUAGCUCGGCCUUUCCAUCAAUGAAGAGGCUCAUGAAUUCUUCACCAUCAACAGUUUCCUUCUCUAUGAGGAGCUGGGCAAGCUUGUGGAGGAUAUCAAUGUGAGUUGUGAUGAUCUGUGUGGCCCUCGAAUAAGCUGUCUCUACCAAUUCCCUAACCUCUCCAUCCACAAUAUCAGCGGUUGCCAUGGAGUAGUCCUUUUGGGACGACAUCUGCAAAUUCAAACAUACAUUUUCCAUCACUUCUCUUGCAUCCCAUAUGCAUAUGAUGAAACAGUGAAUAAACUACGGUAAGUAAUUGAUUAUAGUACCUGUUGCCCUAAGAAGGGAUUGCCACCAGAGGCACCCACCGCAAUUUGUCCAAUCUUUUUGCUGAACCCAAAUCUCUCAACCAUCUGCCUUGCCACCCUUGAAACUUGCAUGAAGUCGCUUGAUGCCCCUGUUGUCACAUUCUCCUGACCAAAGAUAACUUCUUCCGCAACCCUGCAACAAAAUGGAGACCGGGUUCAGAACACAAGUUCCCACACAAUCUUCAACACAGCUCAAAUGCAAAAGGGAAGAAUGAAUAGACUGUUUGAAAGCAGUUUAAAACGAAGAGUUCGAAUAACUGACCUUCCACCGAGGGCAACAGCCAUUUGAUUCUCCAGGUAGCUUCUACUGUACAGUCCAGACUCAAGUCUCUCUUCACUUGGAGCGAAGAAGGUGAGACCGCCAGCUUGGCCACGAGGGAUGAUGGAUAUCUUAGCAACAGGAUCAUAUUCCGGCAUCAAUGCACCAACAAGAGCAUGCCCCGCCUCUGUACAAGUCACGUAAUAGAUGAAUAAACCAUGGUUAACAUCGGAUGAUAGCAAAAUCACAAGUUAACAUCGGAUAUGAGGGGAGAACUGGUCUUGUUCUAUGUAUAUACCAUGGUAGGCGACUAAUUUCUUCUUCUCUUCAGAGACAACAGCAUUUUUCUUCUCUGGUCCAGCAAUGAUCCGCUCCAGAGCAUCGGCGAUCUCAUCUUUACUUAUUUCUUUGAGGUCACGUCUGGCUGCGAGAAUGGCAGCCUCGUUCAUCAGGUUCUGCAGAUCGGCGCCCGUGAAACCAGGUGUUCUCCUCGCAAUUUUGUCAAAGUCCACAUCCUUAGCAAGCGCCUUCCCUCUAGAGUGCACCUGCCAAUAAAAAAUGCUUCAGCUGAGACUUGAGAGAAUGUGGAAUGUACAAUUCUAGCAAAACAUCUUCAAACCACACUUAAACUCGAACAAACGUGCAAACUAAAACGGUUUACAAGCAUGCAUAAAAUGCAAUUUACAGAAAAUAAUUGCUUAAGCUACUAGCCUAGUACUCAUACCAGGCAUUAGUUACUCACCUGCAGUAUUUUAACUCUGCCAGCAACAUCAGGCCUGUCGACGGUCACCUGUCGGUCAAACCUUCCGGGCCUCAACAACGCCGAGUCAAGAACAUCCGGCCUGUUGGUUGCCGCCAAAACUAUCACACCGGAAUUACCAGAAAACCCAUCCAUCUCCGUCAGCAGCUGAUUAAUAGUCUGCUCCCUCUCAUCAUUCCCGCCGCCCAUCCCCGCGCCUCUCUGCCUCCCCACCGCAUCUAUCUCAUCAAUGAACACAAUGCACGGCGCUUUCGACUUGGCCUUCUCGACGCACUCUCGACGCCCCCACUCCCACAAACAACUCCACGAACUCGGAAGCCGCGCACGAGAAAAACGGCGUCCCAGCCUCUCCGGCCACGGCGCGAGCCAGAAGGGUCUUGCCGGUACCAGGUGGACCCACCAAAAGACAUCCUUUUGGGAUUUUGGCACCGAGGGCGGUGUACUUGUCUGGGUUCUUCAAGAAAUCCACCACCUCCUGCAGCUCCAAUUUUGCUUGGUCAGCUCCAGCUACAUCGGAGAAAGUCACCCCCGUCUCUGGAACUUCUUGGAAUUUGGACUUGGACCUUCCGAAAUCCAUGGGGCCGCCCAGCCCGCCCGGCCCUCCUGGGCCUCCUCCAGCUCGCCGAAAAAGAAGGAACAAUCCGGCAAAGGCCAAGAUUGGGAACCAAAUUGCCGAUGAAAUUGAAUAGGCCACCUCCCGAAUCGCCUUCGGAGACGGAAAUAUCGACGCCGUUCAUGGCCAAAAUGUCGAUGAGGUCAGGGUCGUUGGGGACAACGACGGAGGCGCGGCGCCCAUCGACGGCAGUGAGCUGAAGGGCAGAACCGUCUUUGACGAACCUGACUCUCUCGACCUUGCCCUUCUUGACGGCGUUGAGGAACUCGCUGUAGCGCCAUUGGCUGCCUUCGGGGAGGUCAGUGGCGACCUGGGAUUGGGGCUUAGGGGCGUUGAGGAGGAGGUUUUGGGAGAAAGGAGAGGCGGCGUUGGGUUUGGAAGGCUGGGCUUGGAGCACAGGUGGCGGAGUGGGAGUGGGCGUGUUGUCUAUGGCUAGGCCGGGUUGUGGGGUGAGAGAAGAGAAGAGCAAGGCGGCUAAAGUGGCUUGGGAAGUUGCGGAUUUGAAUGGCUGUGAAUCGGGUUCAGAGUUGAAGAUGUUUUUGGUGGCGAAAAGCUUUCGCUGGGAGAAGAAGGGCAGGGGAAUUGGGAGGGAUGAUUUGGAUUUAGAGGUGGUUUUAGGGGUGGGAGGAUAGUGGAGGAUUGUGGUGGUUCCGAAGAAGUUGGAAGAGAGCAAGGGGUUGGUGGCGGAAGCCAUGGCUUGGGCUGGGUUGGGUUGGCUGGGGUUCGUUUUUGUGUCUCUCCCUCUUUCUCCUCCUCUCCCUCUUGUUUUCCGUUAUCUGUUGGAUAAAAAUUCAGCUAUUUCUUUCGAAAUUAAGAAGUUUUAUUUUUGUUUAUUUUUCUUCAGAUACUAGAUUAGCGGGAAAAUGAAAAGUUGAUUCAAUUUUAUGGGGAAAAUAAAUAAAUAAAUAAAGAGUCGAAAAUACGAAUCGUGGCGGGCUGAGAACUAUGAAUUGUUUAUAUUUUGUUUGGGUGUUUUUUCUCUAGAAAUUUUUACUGGAAGACCCGUUUUUCACUUGGAUUUUUGAUUGAACAAGUUUUUCGAUUCUUCUAUCUCUGCUUCAAAGUUUCGAAGUUUCAAAGUUUCAAAGAAACGACACCAUAAAAUGAUAAAGCAUUGGAAUUGGAAUGUUGUUGCUUGGGUUGCGCCCACGUGUUCGACAUGCCAUCCAUCCAUGCAUCCAUUCAUUCAUUAUUUGUCGUUUUUUUGUUAAUUUUCUCAUUGAUUUGGAAGAGUAUAUAUAUGGGCGCGGAUUCAGGAGCCCAUCCCAUCCCUUUCCCUUUUCUUUGUUAAAAGAUAUCAUCACUAAUUGUAUAUGGGUGAGGAUUUAGGAGUAGGAGAUGAGGCUUUAAGUUUGUUUUGAAUUUGAUAUUAAGGUGAGGUUAGGUUUCCAUUGGCGUGCUUAUGGGCUUUUUGGACGACCAUAACCAUAUACCAUAUAUCAUUAUCACAAUGUACAUGACGUAAGCAUGCACAUUAUAUUGUAUAUGAAGUUAUCGUGUAUUCAUCUGUGCAUUACGUGAUUAAUGUCAUUGGCAGUUCAUUCUUAUAUACGAGUGUCGUAUGCAGCUCCAUCAUGCACACAUCUGUAUUAUUGUGGUACAGAUGCACGAUCGAAUUGGAGGAGCUGCAUGUGUGUAUCUGAAUAUCCGUGAAGUUUCACUUGAACUUCUUAGAAGCUCUCUUGUUUUAACUUGCCCAACUGUGGAAUGAUUUGGUCUCACGUUCAAACAUAUCUACACAUAAAUAUAUCAGUAGUUGUGUUGAGUACUAUGUCGUAUAUGGAGACACGAAAAAGCAUAUGCACACUUGUAAUAUAUAAACAACUAGUGAUGAUAUCAUUUAAGCCAGUCUUAAGAACAUUAAGAAAUAUAUAUUUGUUUAAUUAAUUGAUUUAAUUAAGCCCAUUAGUGCCUAAUAUCUUUGUGUAUUAAUAUUCAUGUCUGCUUUCUCCCAAUCAGAACCAGCCUGGCACCCUCUUCUCGUCCUCCUGCAUGUAUCGUGUAUCAUGUAUCCUGUAUGUAUGGUAUGAUCAGCCUUAUCGGUGGUCUAAUCACCAAUGACAAUAUCUAUCUUUAACAUAUUUGUUGCCUUACCUACCUGUAACAUAUCCUCACUUUGUAUUGAUUAAUGUUAAUCUAUAUCUGAAAUGGAAUAUGCAUGGAAGGAAGCUUCGUCCUGUCAAAUUACUCCUACCUAUUGCUCUGCUCUUGUUGUUCUUGCUCUCCCUUAAUCAAAUAGAGCCUUAGCUGUCUGCGUAUGUUGCCAAUUAAACUAAACAAUUCCACAAGUCCGUACGUACUGAUCGUCAAAACGAUUCUUCCUGCUAUACUUCCUCAAGUUUUUUAUCAAAUCCAAAUAUUCAGGCUAAUGAAAGUCCCCAGCUAUAUAUACAAGACCGUAUCACCAAGUUUGCAUAUAUCUGUCUACCUAUAUCUCCACUCCACAAACUCUUCAACAAUUGACAUACCCUUGAUCUGGCCGCUCAUAUUUGUCCAUCAACUCAUUCAAUUACAUAUAAAAUCCAAUUAAUUUCAGAAGGAAUUAAUGGCCAUGGCAUGCCCAAAUUUUGAAGCUCUCAGAGACCUACACAACUCUGCCAAUAACCUUCUCCACUCCCCGGUGAUCCAACAAGCUCUCAUCAACGACAUCGAACAGGAGAAAUGGGUUCAUCAAGUGUCAGAAGCGUCUCUAAGAAUGCUGGAUGUGUGCGGCAUUUCCAAAGACGUUCUUUUGGUCGUGAAAGAACAUCUCCAAGACCUUCAAUCCAUGUUGCGCCGAGGAAGCAGCAGCGGAGAAGCGGACAAAAGUAACAGGAUUGCAGCCUACAACUGCUACAGGAAGAAGCUAAAGAAGGAGACGCUCAAGUGCUUGAAAUCUCUCAAAGGAAUAAGGAACAAGUCCAAUACUAAUUCUUCACAAGUAUAUACGGACCACAACCUUAUGGUAGUUGUAGACGUGCUCAGUCAAGUGAGGGCGACUUCCGUUUCAAUUGUGGAGACUCUUUUGUCCCUGAUUUCCGUACCAUGGCUGGAGCAGAAAUCAUCGGCUUCCUUCCAGUUCAUGUCCAAGUUUAUGCGUGUGAGUGGCCGCCAACGAGUGUACGAUGCAUGCGAUGCGACGGCGCUUCAAAGUGCGAACAAAAGAUUGGACGCUGUCGAGAUUGCCAUUCAAGACCUUGAAGCUGAGUUAGACUGCAUGUUUAGACGUUUGAUUGACACCAGAGUUGCCCUUCUCAAUAUACUUAACAAUUAACUAGCUCAAUUAACCCAUUCAUUAAUUCAGUUGAUCAUCUGUUGGAACUUAAUACCCUCCUCGGCAAUUGCAAACCAAGAUGUCACGAUUCAUUCAUUUUUUGUCAGGCUCCCCUACCGGGAUCCAGUAACUGUGGUGUUACCAGUUCUUUGAUUAUUUACAAUAAACUCUCUUUUCCCGCUUCAAAGAUCCAAUAUGUAGUGUAAUUGUAGUUCUACAUUUCAUGCAACUUAUUUACGUACAAGUAUAUGAUUUAUUUUUCCACCUCCAGGGGGAUUUCAAGAUGAGUUGCAGAAAAAUUAAAACAAUUAAAGCGCAAGAAAAAUGGAACGAAAAAGGGAAGUAGUUUCAACUUCACAAGGUGUGUAAAAAAUACAAGCAUCAUAAAUAUAACAUUUUGAAACGGAGUUUGAUGUCAUCAACAUCAUUCAUAUCACAAUAUUUUUCUUCACAAUCACUUUAUUAAACCGAAAUCAAGACAGAUGCUCCACAUGACACUUACACUAGUAUCCCGCCUAAUAAGCCCUUUAUGAUAUCAACUCUUGGCUCUUCCACAGGAAACCUGCAACAAUACAAUAAAGCCUCGUUUCAAUUAUUUCUUUCUACCGACAUUUCCUUCUAUGCGAAAAAUUAGUUACUGAAACUAUAAAGUCUGUUUGAGAACACCCAAAAAAAAUUGAGAGCCUUAAAUGAAAGCAAACAAAGAUAACAGGCACUGGUCCACGAGCUCAUGGACUUACUCAAUUACUGGCCCCUUUCUUCAAAUGAAAACCAUGGAGGAAGCAGAGUUUCAACAAGCAUAAAUCAAACCAAGCCAAACUUGGCAUCAUGAUCCAUGUGUUUGCAAUUUACUUCAUUCAAACACAUAUUAACUACUAAGUCUAGGCCAUAAUUCUAAAAUGAAAGGCAUAUAAACAUCGAUCAAUAGUGUGUAAGCAUGGUUACAACUGAUCAGACCCAGUCGGUAGCCAGAGCUCUACUCUAAAUAGGAGUUCAUAAGUUCAAACCCAACUCCCCGAACAUCACAACUGAUCAAAGAAUGAAAAGUAUCACAUAAAGCAAACAAAGUACAGUGGAUCAUAUGAGUAUAUAUGAUAACUUAGCCAAGUAUCUUUAGCUGAGACAAAGAAGGAUAAACGGUACCUAAUGAUGAUCCUCGUGGCCCUCCCAGGGGUGUCUCCAACCCUAAAAAACAUAUUAAGAAAGUGAGUAACUUGAGUAUAUCAAAUUGCAAAGAAAAGUGAAACAAGAGAAGCACAUACCAAAACUACAGGACCAUCCUUCUUGGCCCUGUACAGUACCCAAAACCUGAUGCAUCAAAAUUUUGAGGAAAAAAACAGUAAGCUUCACGGAAAUGCACCAAGGAAAAAAAAAUACACAAAGCAAUAUUUCAAUAGAAAAAUAAGUAAAAGUUAGUAGUAAACUUAGAAAGUGAAUAAUACAUUCAAUCUGCAAUAUAUCAAUGCAGGGACUGAGGUUUACACCAAUAGUAAACCUCUCCAAGGUUCAAACUUGAACUUUAUCCCAAAUUGCAUGAUUCCAACGAUAUACAUUCAGUUACACCAUUGUCCUCUAUGCUCAAGAGUUAACGCCAAGCACCAAGGCAACCUUAAACCGGUCAGAAGCUUACGGAUUGAAAGAAAGAAAAAAAAACGAAGUAAUGUGUGAUACUAUAGCUUUAUAUACGCCAGUCAACAACCAAUGUUGGCCAUAAUAGGAAAUCCCAAAAUUCAAUCUCGAGCAAGACGAAUUUGUUGAUAUUUCAGCUCCAUUAUAUUAAACAGCCACAAUCCCCAACUCGAAUCCCAACAUUAAAGUGCAUUCUAAUUUCUUCCUGUUAGCAUUUUCAUGUCUAAGUUCCUAACCAAUCGAUCCCCACUCGUAUUUGAAAGAACCCCAACAUUCAAGUGAAUGAAAUGCAGUUUCUACCUGUUAGCAUUUUCAGGUCUAAGUUCCUAACAAUCGGUGCCUUAACAUGAAAUUCCGAAAACAUUAGAAAGUGUACCCAAAAAAAAGAUUAAAACAAAAAGGCACGCAGAUCCAACAUGGCAGAAAUUUGACCAACGCUAAUGUACGGAUGAAAUAGGCAGAGUAGACGGAGUUUACCACAUCACAGCACACAUGCCUUUGCCGGUGAGGGUGUGCCACCGCUUUGGCUGAUGCACCGUGAUUCCCUUAUACGUUAUGCCCUCGCCGUGUCCUCCUCCCAUCUUCGCCGGUCACUCUCUCUUUCUCUUUCUCUUUCUCUUUCUCUUUCUGAGCUAGCCCUAGACUCCAAAAUGAGAUCUCCCUCAAUUAAGAAAUGCUCCAGACCCGAUGACAACUCUACCCACUUUUGCUUCUCAUGAUGACAAGGCUACUUCCCAUUGUGGGCUUCGCUUGACUAGUUCUUCUGCAAGCCCAACUUAGAUAAAAUCCUAGUUUUUGAAACAGUAUUAUUAAGUGAAUGCAAUUGAAACAGUAUUGUAAUAAAAUAAAGCCGUUUUGAGGAUUUCUAUGAAAUGAAGUAUGGAUCGGAACUACUACGAAGAAAACCCAGGACAGGCCCAUAGGAAAACCAAAGUUUUAUUUUGCUUGCAUCUUUUAAAGAGUUUAUUUCUUUUAUCAAAUUAAAUUUAUUUUUAGGGAUUUUUAUCAUACUUUUCAAAUAUACUUGAUGGCGCCCUUUUUUUUUUUUUUUUAAAGAGAAGUACAAUAAUUCAUUGAAAGCAAAUUCAGAAUACAAGCAAACUGAGAAUAGAGUGCAUAUUGGGUCUCGAUAAAACCUUGUCGGAAAUUUCACUCCGGUAUAAAGGAAAAAUAGUGUCACGCACAACCUAAAGGACCUAUUCUCAAAUGUCAAUACAUAAACAAAUUCCGAACUAUCUUGGAACAAAAUAUGCAACUCAGGGGGUCUUCAACCAACUAAACUGAUUGGUUACAAAGCUUUCAACCAUUUCGUGCAGUGAGCACCAACCGUGCGGCAAAGCUUUCGACCAUUUCUUCCAUAGUCCUUUCCACACGAUGCAACUCAGUCUAAACCACCGGCAAAGAAUGUCUCUAACAAAUUGGAUUAGUUGGACCAACAUCCAUAUAGUAUCAGUAGGAGACAUAUGUCCCCAUAACUACGAACAUGGAAUCAAGGUAACUCGGUGUCAUCGUUGUAGACGAAGCAGUCACUUCUCCUAGUGAAACCUAAGAAGACCUAGGAACCCCAGAGAGCAAUUUUAUAAGAAGACCAGGACUAAAUUAAAAUAAUUAAAAUAAUGAAAAUAAACUAAAAUAAUUAAAACCAAUCCAUUGACCCAUCACCACCUGCAACUAGUGCAAGUCUGCUGCACCCAAGAGCCAAGGCCGCCAGGGGAAGGCGAAGCCACCACUAAACAGUUGAGAAGGACCACAUAACACAGAAAAUCAAGCCAUAAGGGGGAUCUGACUCCCUAACAACAAAAAAUCUUUGAUACAAGUGAGAAUUUAAGAUAAGACACACAAUGACUAUCUCAAAAGUCAAAAUGUCAUAAGAGCACACAAUAUAGUAUGAUAAUAUGAAAUUCAAUGAAUUAAUCAAUGAUAUGAGUGACCACAUACAUUUCAUCACCCAUAACUAAGGUGACAAAUGAAUCCAUUAGAUUGUUAAUAAAUGUGAUAUUGGUAGUGGUGGUGAUGAUAGUGUAAAGUAAAGUCAAAUUAAAUGGUUUUUAAUGGGUACCAUUGACAACUCAAUAGAUUGAUUUGUCACCUCUACCCAUAACAACGGAUAAUAUAAAAAGAAAGUGGAAGAGACUUUUUAGAAAGUACUCACACAACGAUUAACCCAAGAGUUUAUUUAUUUUUGUAUUAUAUUAACAUUUAAUGUGUAAUUUAUGUUAUUCUUUUUAAUAUUGAUAUGAAAUCGUUAUUGACAUUCUAAAAAUCUCAUUUCACUCAAAACUUUGUUUAAUUAUAAGAAACAUACACGCGAAUAGUGUAAAAUGAGGUUUUUAGGGGACGUUUGUUUGUCCUCACUAAACUUCAUUGGAUUGGACUAGCUUAGCCGGGAUUGCUAGCUAGUGUUUUGUGCGAACAAGGAUUAUCAUUAAUGAGACUAAGCCGGACUUGCACCGACUAAGUCUUUCGUUAGGUAGUCAUAGUGAGGACCCCCAAUAUGUAUGAGAUUGCUAGUCCCGUCCCAAACCUGCUUCGUUUGCCUAUUGCAUUGUCUACACGUUGCGUCAUCUACAAGAGUUCCUAUGCAACACCGUUUGCCCACUGCUCAUAUCUGAAACAAAGCCCCACCAGCUGCCUAAACCUCAAAAUCCAACUAUCAAAAUUAUUAUAAAAAGAAAAGAAAAGAAAAGAAAAGAAAAAGCGCAAAACAAUAACAACAACAAAAUCCAACCCUAAAAUUCAAAAUCCACCCACUGCCAGAAAAUUUCGAGAUGGCUUUGC
RNAcentral lists this long non-coding RNA (29553 nucleotides) under Malus domestica (apple). RNAcentral's name for it is "long non-coding RNA (MDOM_LNC014414)". Lineage: Eukaryota; Viridiplantae; Streptophyta; Magnoliopsida; Rosales; Rosaceae. The record is from RNAcentral.